AAGUAAAUAUAACGAAAUAGACUCAUCAACGCAACAGGAAGCAUAAUGUAAGAGAUGAGUACGUGCGUGCUAAUUUGCAUAAUAGAAAGAAAAAACUUUUACGGAAACAAAGCCACAAGUGAAUUGGAAAGUACGUAAUAUUAUAACGGAUUUUUGUGCAAGGACUAGGGCCUGCUUCGCAAUAUCUGAGUAAACGCUAAUCAUCGAAUAUAAGACGACCAAAUUCAAGCUAACAAUUAAAUGGAGUAUAUUACGUAUACCUGAGUCGAUGGCUAGGUGAAUUACAUGCGCGGUACGACGCCACUCUGAGGUCCCGGAAUCGAAUCCC
Long non-coding RNA from Manduca sexta (tobacco hornworm), 328 nucleotides. RefSeq lists it as uncharacterized. NCBI's taxonomy places the organism in Eukaryota, Metazoa, Arthropoda, Insecta, Lepidoptera, Sphingidae. The record is from RefSeq and is a predicted model, not a curated record. The transcript has 3 exons.